AGUGGUGUGGAGUAGCUUAUGGAAGCUCGCCGGCGCUGCAUAGAAUAUUGAGGGGAGCAGCCCGGAGGCGCUGGUUCGAGGCCAGCCACCACUA
This 94-nucleotide transfer RNA is filed under the name Rhabdobacter roseus. Its description in RNAcentral is "tRNA-OTHER". Lineage: Bacteria; Pseudomonadati; Bacteroidota; Cytophagia; Cytophagales; Cytophagaceae. The record is from RNAcentral.